AGAGCGAACGCUGGCGGCAGGCCUAACACAUGCAAGUCGAACGCCCAGCAAUGGGAGUGGCAGACGGGAUAGUAACACGUGGGAACGCGCCCUUCGGUUCGGAAUAACUCAGGGAAACUUGAGCUAAAUACCGGAUACGCCCUUACGGGGAAAGAUUUAUUGCCGAAGGAACGGCCCGCGUCGGAUUAGCUAGUUGGUGAGGUAAUGGCUCACCAAGGCGACGAUCCGUAGCUGGUCUGAGAGGAUGACCAGCAUCACUGGGACUGAGACACGGCCCAGACUCCUACGGGAGGCAGCAGUGGGGAAUAUUGGACAAUGGGCGCAAGCCUGAUCCAGCCAUGCCGCGUGGAUGAUGAAGGCCCUAGGGUUGUAAAGUCCUUUAACGGGGAAGAUAAUGACGGUACCCGUAGAAUAAGCCCCGGCUAACUUCGUGCCAGCAGCCGC
RNAcentral lists this ribosomal RNA (444 nucleotides) under uncultured bacterium. RNAcentral describes it as "SSU rRNA". It matches the Rfam family "Bacterial small subunit ribosomal RNA", at positions 26 to 518 of the family's 1533-position model. The record is from RNAcentral.